This 72-nucleotide transfer RNA is filed under the name Aspergillus udagawae. RNAcentral's name for it is "tRNA-His". It matches the Rfam family "tRNA". From Rfam's summary of the family: Transfer RNA (tRNA) molecules are approximately 80 nucleotides in length. Their secondary structure includes four short double-helical elements and three loops (D, anti-codon, and T loops). The record is from RNAcentral. RNAcentral also lists the same sequence under 4 other names. Lineage: Eukaryota; Fungi; Ascomycota; Eurotiomycetes; Eurotiales; Aspergillaceae.
GGUGCUGUAGUGUAGUGGUUAUCAUGCGACGUUGUGGCCGUCUCGACCUGGGUUCGAUUCCCAGCAGCGCCA